GGAUUAGUAGGCUGGUCGUGCCACCGGUACGUACUGGUCUUACUGAUUCCUCCUUCCUGAUGAACUGUAAUGCCAUUAAUUUGGUGUUGCAGGGAAUCUGGACUGUUACUUUGAAAAAAUUAGAGUGUUUAAAGCAGGCUAACGCUUGAAUACAUUAGCAUGGAAUAAUGAAAUAGGACGUUCGAUCCUAUUUUGUUGGUUUCUAGGAUUGACGUA
Molecule: ribosomal RNA, 216 nt
Filed under: Glomus sp.
Lineage: Eukaryota; Fungi; Glomeromycota; Glomeromycetes; Glomerales; Glomeraceae
Description: partial small subunit ribosomal RNA
Rfam family: Eukaryotic small subunit ribosomal RNA (bases 40-216)
Source: RNAcentral